RNAcentral lists this unclassified non-coding RNA (379 nucleotides) under uncultured bacterium. Its description in RNAcentral is "contains 16S-23S intergenic spacer region". The record is from RNAcentral.
UCCGGGGUUUCCCCGGCAGUCCCCCAUGAGUGCCCGGCAUCACCCGAUGGCAACAUAAGGCGGGGGUUGCGCUCGUUACGGGACUUAACCCAACAUUUCACAACACGAGCUGACGACAGCCAUGCAGCACCUGUCUCAGAGCUCCCGAAGGCACCAAUCCAUCUCUGGAAAGUUCUCUGGAUGUCAAGACCUGGUAAGGUUCUUCGCGUUGCAUCGAAUUAAACCACAUGCUCCACCGCUUGUGCGGGCCCCCGUCAAUUCUUUUGAGUUUUAGCCUUGCGGCCGUACUCCCCAGGCGGAACACUUAACGCGUUGGCUGCGGCACAGAGGGAUUCGACUCCCCCCACACCUAGUGUUCAUCGUUUACGGCUAGGACUAC